GGCUCGGUAGCUUAGUUGGUAGAGCGCUCGUCUAGCAUACAAGAGUCCUGGGUUCAAAUCCCAGCCGAGCAC
Molecule: transfer RNA, 72 nt
Filed under: Aedes aegypti (yellow fever mosquito)
Lineage: Eukaryota; Metazoa; Arthropoda; Insecta; Diptera; Culicidae
Rfam family: tRNA
About the family: Transfer RNA (tRNA) molecules are approximately 80 nucleotides in length. Their secondary structure includes four short double-helical elements and three loops (D, anti-codon, and T loops).
Source: Rfam by way of RNAcentral